GAUGAACGCUGGCGGCGUGCCUAAUACAUGCAAGUAGAACGCUGAAGGAAGGAGCUUGCUCUUUCCGGAUGAGUUGCGAACGGGUGAGUAACGCGUAGGUAACCUGCCUGGUAGCGGGGGAUAACUAUUGGAAACGAUAGCUAAUACCGCAUAACAGUAGAUAUUGCAUGAUAUCUGCUUGAAAGGGGCAAUUGCUCCACUACCAGAUGGACCUGCGUUGUAUUAGCUAGUUGGUGAGGUAACGGCUCACCAAGGCGACGAUACAUAGCCGACCUGAGAGGGUGAUCGGCCACACUGGGACUGAGACACGGCCCAGACUCCUACGGGAGGCAGCAGUAGGGAAUCUUCGGCAAUGGACGGAAGUCUGACCGAGCAACGCCGCGUGAGUGAAGAAGGUUUUCGGAUCGUAAAGCUCUGUUGUAAGAGAAGAACGAGUGUGAGAGUGGAAAGUUCACACUGUGACGGUAUCUGACCAGAAAGGGACGGCUAACUACGUG
Molecule: ribosomal RNA, 497 nt
Filed under: uncultured bacterium
Lineage: Bacteria
Description: partial 16S ribosomal RNA
Rfam family: Bacterial small subunit ribosomal RNA
Source: RNAcentral